RNAcentral lists this ribosomal RNA (213 nucleotides) under uncultured bacterium. RNAcentral's name for it is "partial 16S ribosomal RNA". It matches the Rfam family "Bacterial small subunit ribosomal RNA", at positions 137 to 334 of the family's 1533-position model. The record is from RNAcentral.
AGGGGGACAACAGUUGGAAACGACUGCUAAUACCGCAUACGAUCUGACCUCGGCAUCGAGGAUGGAUGAAAGGUGGCCUCUAUUUAUAAGCUAUCACUGAAGGAGGGGAUUGCGUCUGAUUAGCUAGUUGGAGGGGUAACGGCCCACCAAGGCGAUGAUCAGUAGCCGGUCUGAGAGGAUGAACGGCCACAUUGGGACUGAGACACGGCCCAG